AUUGCCUGAUUCCCCUUCCGAUAUGCCGGUGACGUAUUCUGGGUCAAAAGACGUGGCACACAAACGAAAAUGGGUGGUUCGAACGUCUUGCUCCAUUACCUUCGUAAACGCAAGUUACGGCCACCACGCAGGCGGGUCAUGCUCUGUGGUCUUACCGUCCUUUUGUACGUUAACUUCGUUCAAAAUAUUAACUUAUAUUAAAUAAUCGAAUAACGAUGAAAUAAAAUAUUCUGAGUACCUAUUA
Molecule: long non-coding RNA, 244 nt
Organism: Melitaea cinxia (Glanville fritillary)
Lineage: Eukaryota; Metazoa; Arthropoda; Insecta; Lepidoptera; Nymphalidae
Exons: 2
Source: RefSeq, a predicted model, not a curated record